CAAGAACUCAGGGGAUUCAAAUCUGAGAACUGUGCAACACUGCGCACCUGCUUUCUUGGUACAAGGGACUGGAAGGCUCGAAAAAGAAGAGCUGAUUUAGUUCGAGGUCCUGAUGUAGAGCAAAUGAAGAUCACACUUCUUGUGGAGAGGCCAUUAUCCAAGCCUGGGGUCCCAGCAUGCAUGGAAUCCUCCACAUAACUGCUAUUAGACAUCAGCUUGAAGUGCCUAAGGAAGUGUGCAACACUUGCUUUUCACAGGAAGGGGGAAGAAAGAUUCAGAAUGUCACAUAGAGACCCAAGAGUGGACAGUGGUGAUGCAGAAGACCAUUACUGAAGAAAUGCCCUGCCUGCAGGACUUCCUUCUGAGAAGUAAACCAGCCACAGCUGUCCCACUCCCCGCCACCCUCUCUCCUUGACCCUCUCACCUUGGCCCUGGAUGUUGACUCAGACUCUCCUUCCAGGCAGAGCGUCAGCCACUUAGCUUCCCUGGCCUGACCCCAGGAUGAACUCUGCAUCCAGCUCUCAGCUCCCCCAACUGCCUCAUCCUCUUUUCUUCCAUGGCCCCUUGGAGGCCAUUGAUGGGGUGGAAAUGGGAGAAGAGAAAGCUGCUGCAAGCUCUCCGCAUCCUCUCAUGCCCCCGAGGGUAUAUCUGAGCCUUUUCUCUCAGACCUUUAGGAAAAUAAGAUACUGAAUUAGAGGCACUGGAAGGCCCCACUGGAUUAAUACAGAGCUGGAAGAAUAGUGUCCUUUGCGAGGAAUGGAUGUGAGAGUGAGCAUUCAUGGGUAUGUCAGAUGAAAGAGAGCAGAGAUAAUGUUUGUGCUACAUUGCAUUGCCUUAAAAUAAAAGCUACUGUUUUAAAAAAGAAAGAACGGGGCAAAAUGGAGUCAUUUUUGCUAAGCCACAGUCACCAGACCAAAACUUAAUAAGUAAUCUAAUUGCAGUUUCAGCCUUUCCCACAAAUGGGAUUUUAAACCAGUAUGGAAUUUCCUGAUUGACACCAGUGAGGUGCUUUGCCUGGUAAGUCCCCUUGUCUUCCCAUAAGGGAAGGUAUUCUUGUAUGAAAUAAACCACUCUUUUAUAUUUUGUCCCACCCUCUUUCUGCAUAUAGAAACCUUCCAUUUUGGAGCAUGCUUCUAGUUGCUAGGUGGAAUGCUGCCUGAUUUAUGAAUCACUUAAAGCCAAUUAGAUCUUCAAAUUUACUUAGGUGAGUUUUGUUCUAACUUGAACAUGACCAACAUUACAACUAUCCCACCAUAGGCGCGC
Long non-coding RNA from Hipposideros armiger (great roundleaf bat), 1263 nucleotides. RefSeq lists it as uncharacterized. Lineage: Eukaryota; Metazoa; Chordata; Mammalia; Chiroptera; Hipposideridae. The record is from RefSeq and is a predicted model, not a curated record. The transcript is spliced from 3 exons.